UGGGGAAUAUUGCACAAUGGAGGGAACUCUGAUGCAGCGACGCCGCGUGAGUGAUGAAGGACUUCGUUUCGUAAAACUCUGUUCUAUGGGAAGAAAAGGACUGUACCAUAGGAGAAAGCUCCGGCUAAAUACGUGCCAGCAGCCGCGGUAAUACGUAUGGAGCGAGCGUUGUCCGGAAUUAUUGGGCGUAAAGGGUGCGCAGGCGGCUUUACAAGUUGGAUGUGAAAUAUUGUGGCUCAACCACAAACGUGCAUCCAAAACUGCAAAGCUUGAGUUAAGGAGAGGUAAGUGGAAUUCCCGGUGUAGCGGUGGAAUGCGUAGAUAUCAGGAGGAAUACCGGUGGCGAAGGCGACUUACUGGACUUAAACUGACGCUCAGGCACGAAAGCGUGGGGAGCAAACAGG
This 404-nucleotide ribosomal RNA is filed under the name Fusobacteriota bacterium. Its description in RNAcentral is "Fusobacteria bacterium partial 16S ribosomal RNA". It matches the Rfam family "Bacterial small subunit ribosomal RNA", at positions 355 to 776 of the family's 1533-position model. Lineage: Bacteria; Fusobacteriati; Fusobacteriota. The record is from RNAcentral.